UGCGGGGUGGAGCAGUCUGGUUAGCUCGUCGGGCUCAUAACCCGGAGGCCGUAGGUUCAAAUCCUGCCCCCGCUACCA
Molecule: transfer RNA, 78 nt
Filed under: candidate division NPL-UPA2 bacterium
Lineage: Bacteria
Description: tRNA-Met
Rfam family: tRNA
About the family: Transfer RNA (tRNA) molecules are approximately 80 nucleotides in length. Their secondary structure includes four short double-helical elements and three loops (D, anti-codon, and T loops). Further hydrogen bonds mediate the characteristic L-shaped molecular structure. tRNAs have two regions of fundamental functional importance: the anti-codon, which is responsible for specific mRNA codon recognition, and the 3' end, to which the tRNAs corresponding amino acid is attached (by aminoacyl-tRNA synthetases). tRNAs cope with the degeneracy of the genetic code in two manners: having more than one tRNA (with a specific anti-codon) for a particular amino acid; and 'wobble' base-pairing, i.e. permitting non-standard base-pairing at the 3rd anti-codon position.
Source: RNAcentral